UACGGAGGGUGCAAGCGUUAUCCGGAAUCACUGGGCGUAAAGGGCGCGUAGGUGGUCUGUUAAGUCUGGCGUUAAAGCCUGGGGCUCAACCCCAGAUCAGCGUUGGAUACUGGCAGGCUAGACGGUUGGAGAGGCGAGUGGAAUUACCAGUGUAGCGGUGGAAUGCGUAGAUACUGGUAGGAACACCCAUUGCGAAGGCAGCUCGCUGGACAACACGUGACACUGAGGUGCGAAAGUGUGGGGAGCAAACCGGAUUAGAUACCCCCGUAGU
This 271-nucleotide ribosomal RNA is filed under the name uncultured prokaryote. RNAcentral's name for it is "partial 16S ribosomal RNA". It matches the Rfam family "Bacterial small subunit ribosomal RNA", at positions 524 to 794 of the family's 1533-position model. The record is from RNAcentral.